GAGCCUACUGUCCAUCCACUCUGAGGAGUAAACUCUUGAGAUCUGUGGAGAAUUUGAAAUCAUUUAAAAGGUUAAAAUACCUGCUUUUGAGAUGUUUCCAGAACCGAAUUGGUGUUUGGUGUCGCCAGUGAAGCUGACUGGAGAAGCUUGCACAGAAAGGAAAAUCAUUGUCACCUUUAGCAAGUAUAACUGGAAUAUCACUAUUUUUGAUUAUAUCCAUGUGUCUUCUCUUCCUAUGGAAAAAAUAUCAACCCUACAAAGGCCAGAAACAGAAUACAGGAAAGCUCAAACAUUUUCAGGCCAUGAAGAUGCUCUGGAUGACUUCGGAAUAUAUGAAUUUGUUGCUUUUCCAGAUGCUUCUGGUGUUUCCAGGAUCCCAAGCAGGUCUGUUCCAGCCUCUGAUUGUGUAUCAGGGCAAGAUUUGCACAGUACAGUAUAUGAAGUUAUUCAGCACAUCCCUGCCCAGCAGCAAGACCAUCCAGAGUGAACUUUCACGGGCUAACCGGUACAUUCGAGUGAAAUUUUGAAGAAACAUUUUAAGGAAAAACAGUGGAAAAGUAUAUUAAUCUGGAAUCAGUGAAGAAACCAAGACCAACACCUCUUACUCAUUACUCCUUUACAUGCAGAACAUAGGCAUUUAUGCAAAUUGAACUGCAGGUUUUUCAGCAUAUACACAAUGUUUUGUGCAACAGGAAAACAUGUUGGGGAAAUAUUUCUCAGUGGACAGUCUUUCUCAUGCUGACGGGGUUUCCUCAUAACUUUUGUAUG
This 768-nucleotide small RNA is filed under the name Pongo abelii (Sumatran orangutan). Its description in RNAcentral is "processed transcript". Lineage: Eukaryota; Metazoa; Chordata; Mammalia; Primates; Hominidae. The record is from RNAcentral.